RNAcentral lists this long non-coding RNA (254 nucleotides) under Hordeum vulgare. Its description in RNAcentral is "long non-coding RNA (HVUL_LNC012094)". Lineage: Eukaryota; Viridiplantae; Streptophyta; Magnoliopsida; Poales; Poaceae. The record is from RNAcentral.
AACGCUCCCUCCUCUCUCCCGCUAGAUAGCGCGCGUUUAGCAAGUCUGUACCCUCAAGAAUGAACAUAUAGCAAUAUCUGUUGUCCCCCCAUAACAUACGGAAAUCAAAAUCAGCUCAACUUAGAUGACUAGCUAACUCAUUUUUCAGAUAGCAUAUGUAAAGGGGCCAACUCAAAUUUUUGAGCCUAGCUAACUCAUUUUUCAGAUAUAAGCUUGCUUGAUUUCCAUUGUACCUGAAGAACUAGCUGUUGCUG